This 250-nucleotide ribosomal RNA is filed under the name Anophryoides haemophila. RNAcentral describes it as "partial Bacterial large subunit ribosomal RNA". It matches the Rfam family "Bacterial large subunit ribosomal RNA", at positions 220 to 469 of the family's 2925-position model. Lineage: Eukaryota; Ciliophora; Oligohymenophorea; Philasterida; Glauconematidae. The record is from RNAcentral.
AGAAAAUAACAAUGAUUCCGCAAGUAGUGGCGAGCGAACGCGGAAGAGCCCAAACCAGGGUCGUUACGGCGACCCCGGGGUUGUAGGACCACGACGUGGGACCGAGAAGUGAAGCUUAACCGCCUGGGAAGGCGGGCCGCAGAGGGUGAGAGCCCCGUCAGCGAAAGCUUCUCGGCCCUAGUGGGAUCCUGAGUAGGGCGGGACCAGAGAAAUCCCGUCUGAAUCCACCGGUACCAUCCGGUAAGGCUAA